Molecule: long non-coding RNA, 1802 nt
Organism: Oncorhynchus nerka (sockeye salmon)
Lineage: Eukaryota; Metazoa; Chordata; Actinopteri; Salmoniformes; Salmonidae
Exons: 2
Source: RefSeq, a predicted model, not a curated record
GGACGCUUCUACAACAACGUCGAGUUAUUCACCUCCGUAGCUUUUAGCCAACAUAAGCGAAAACAUUCAAGCUCUUUAAACGCUUUCGGUGUAUAUUAGCCACGGUGUUUUAAACACACUUGUCGUAUCUACUAGUUAGUUACCCAAUUUAAUAUAAUAUUUACGUUGUUGUUAGCUAACUGGCUGAGUAAAUUAGUAGUAGUGCUAGUCUAGUCACUAAUGCUAACUAGCUAUCUAGCUAACAUCCCAACCAUGAGCUCACUAAACGAGUCCCCCACUUCUAAAGAGGGGGUCUGUUGGACGGAGAAAGAAACUCUGGGGCUGAACAUUGUCGUGAAAGAGGAGAAGGAAGAAGAGGAUGUCACAGUAAAAGUAGAGGGUGAGGCUGUUACAGUGAAAGAAGAAGAGAAAGACGUUACAGUGAAAGAAGAGGAAGACUCGUUCAGAGUGAAAGAGGAGGAGGAAGUCACAGUAAAAGAAGAGGAGGAAGAGAAAGAGGAGAUGACUGUCACAGUGAAAGAAGAGGAAGACGUUUUUGGAAUGAAGGAAGUGGGGAAAUUACUGUCACAUUGGAAGAAGAGAAGAGAAAGGAGAUCUGAUUAACAGAGAGAGACCAGACUCUCACUUUGACAGCGAAAAGAGCCCUUCAUUGGAACCAGACCCAGAGACGCCCAAACCAGCGAAACAACAUCACUGCUCUCAGUGUGGAAAGAGUUUUACCCAUUUAGGGUAUCUGAAAUCACAUGAGAGGAGGCACCCAGGAGAAAAGCCUUUUCACUGCUCCCAGUGUGGAAAGAGAUUCUCCAUGUCAAGUAACCUGAAAAAACACGAGAGAACACACUCAGUAGAGAAGCCUUUCCACUGUUCCCAGUGUGAAAAGAGCUUUACACAGUUAGGGCAACUGGAAAAACAUAAAAGAAUACACACUGGAGAGAAGCCCUACCUCUGCUCCCACUGUGGUAAGAGUUUUACCCAAUCAGGUACCUUGAAAUCACACGAGAGAACACACUCUGUAGAGAAGCCUUUCCAAUGCUCUCAGUGUGGAAAGGCGUUUGCCCAAUCAGGUACUCUGAAAUCACAUGAGAGAACACACACUGUAGAAAAGCCUUUCAAAUGCGCUCAGUGUGGAAAGGGUUUUACCCAGAUGGGGAGCCUGAAAAAGCACGACAGAACACACACAGGGGAGAAGCCUUUCCAAUGCUCUCAGUGUGGAAAAGGUUUUACCCAGAUAGGGAGUCUGAAAGGUCAUGAAAGAACACAACACAUACAGGGAAGAAGCCUUAUCACUUCCCCCAGUGUGAAAAUUAUUGUAAUUUAUCCGGCUAGGGCACCUGAAAGAACAUAAUAUAACACACACACGGGAGAAGCCUUUCCAAUGCACCCAGUGUGGGAAGGGUUUUACCCAGAGAAGCUUGCUGAAAAGCCAUGAAAGAACACAAACAGGGGAGUAGAGACGGGGAAGCCAAGCGUUUAGAUUUUCCAGACAAUUGUGUCAAAAAUAGGUACAUGACUCAAUGCUUUGAUCAACACAGUGUACACUAUUGCCACCUGCUGGUCUGAAAUAAUUUAGAGCAGGCAUAUUAUUGUAGAGGACGUCCCACGCCCCAUAGCGUGCCCAGCGUUUUUGUCUUCUACCAAACCAAUCAGGUGGAAACUAAGCUUGCGAUGUGUUUUUGUUUGUCACAUAAAAUCAAAUUAGUACAAAGCAGGACUCAAAUAUAAAUGUUUUAUUUAAAAAAACAUGAGCUGAAUAUGGAGUCAGUUUCCAUGUCUACACACGGUUAUUAAAUGGUCAUUUUAUA